GCUUGGGAAUAUCGAAUGGUGAACACGUACGAUGUCCAUUUCUACGCGUCGUUUGCUCUCGCAGAGCUCUGGCCAGAGCUUGAGAUUACGAUUCAAUCGGAAUUUAGUACGUGGCAAAUUGAAAUUUUUCAUUCACUGCUGACAAUGCAAUACAUAUAUAGUACAUACAUAAUAGAUAUACAGUAGUAUAUAACAUUACAAUAUAAUUACAUCACAAUACGAUAUAUAACAAUAGUAUAAUAAUACAAUAUGAUACAAACAUAAUACAUAUAUAGUGCUUAGUAUAUAACAUUACAGUAUAAUUCCAAUACACUACAUUACAAUACGAUAUAUAACAUUAGAUUAAUAAUAAUACAAUAUAAUACAUAAUACAUAUACCGUAUUUCCUCUAUUAGUCUUGCAUGCAAGACUAAUUUUCAAUCGACCCGUAGGGGUGCAAGACUAAUAGAGACUGCAAGACUAUUAGAGGCUGCAAGACUAAUUUCCGAAGGUCCAAUAGCUUUGUAAAAUUGAUAAUUUAUUAUCAAAAAUUUGACUUGAAACAGUCUAAAUCGUGAAAAAUACAUACUUUUCUAUUGUUUUAUCAAUUAUUUGAACACUUUAAAAUUUAAUUUAGCUAAAAAAAUGGCGAAAUUUUUGAAGUUUUGACAAAAUACCGCUGGUCUGGCAAGAAUAGGGGCGCAAGACUAUUACCGUAUUUCCUCUAUUAGUCUUGCAUGCAAUACUAAUAGAGGCUGCAAGACUAAUUUUCGAUUGGUCCGUAGGGGUGCAAGACUAAUAGAGGAAAUACGGUAGUACAUAUGUAAUACUUACAUAAUACGUAUAUAGCGCAUAGUAUGUAACAUUACAAUAAUAAUACAAUUCAUUACAUUACAAUACAUAUUACAAUACAAUAUAUAACAUUAGAAUAAUUAUAUAAUACAGUACAUAUAUAAUAAAUAAGAGUUGGAAGGUUUGAGGUUAUUACGGUUUAUUAAGGAUAAACUAAUAGAGAAAUCACCGAGUUAAUGGGACAUGUAAAGAGGGGAAAAUGGCAAUAAGUAACACAAGUAAAAGGAAUUAGAGAAGACCUCGAAUGAGCGUGACGACGGUCUUUUAUACUCCUGGUUGACGAGGAUUGGCGGGCAGCAAUCCGAGGCGAAUUGAGCGCGCCGUCCAACGGGGCGCGUUUGCAUCGAGUACGGUAGACAGGUAGCAGGCCUAGUCGUUGUUGUUGGCAGCGGUGACGGCCGAAUGCAGACAUGCAUUCGCUACGACGACACUUGCUGGACCUGGAAAACUAGACUGAAGUAAUGCUCUUAUAUUGGAGAGGUGGGAACCGGAAAAUCCUUACAAAUACAUAUAAAGCGCAUACUUUAUAACAGUGCAAUAUAAUUGCAUUACAAUGAUAAUACAAUAUAAUAAAUACAUAAUGCAUAUAUACUAUUACAAUAAUUAUAGUACAAUAUAUAAUACAUACAUUAUAAAAUUGCAGCCGACCAAGUAUAUCACUCAAUCGAAAAACCCACAAGAUUCCAUAUGGAAGGAGACUGGGCGAACGUGAAAACCGCUAGCCGCGUACCUCAUGACCUCGGAAAUCCCGCCGAUGAGCCAUGGAUUGCCACAAAUGCCUAUGUGAUGCAUGAUACUGGGAAAUGGAAAGAUCUCAAUAUGAAGUAUGUAUUAACGUCGUGGCGAGAUUACGUAGUCCUCUCGAAUGAACACGAGGAUUUUCUAUUUCAUACGUGGCCGGCGGUACGGAUGAUUAUGCUUGAAGCACUGGAGAAUUGGGAUCAAGAUGGCGAUGGAAUGAUUGAGAACUUCGGAAAAGCAGAUCAGACUUAUGAUGCGUGGCAAAUGGAGGGUGUUAGUGCGUAUUGUGGAUCCUUAUGGCUCGCUUCUCUUCGAGUUGCUAUUGAAAUGGCCGGGCUUAUGAAGGAUGAUGAGACUCAGCAGCUGUUCAG
This 1943-nucleotide small RNA is filed under the name Caenorhabditis elegans. RNAcentral's name for it is "Unclassified non-coding RNA Y105E8A.54". Lineage: Eukaryota; Metazoa; Nematoda; Chromadorea; Rhabditida; Rhabditidae. The record is from RNAcentral.